Molecule: long non-coding RNA, 358 nt
Filed under: Lynx pardinus (Iberian lynx)
Lineage: Eukaryota; Metazoa; Chordata; Mammalia; Carnivora; Felidae
Source: RNAcentral
AGAGUCGCGUUGUAAGAAGCAACAACCUCUCCACCUCCUCUCUGCCAUCUUCUCGGCAGCUGCAAAGCAACAACCUUGUGUGAAUGCAUCUCUAUCCACAUUGGCAAGGCUGGUGUUCAGAUCAGCAACACCUGCUGGGAGCUCUAUAGCCUGGAACGUGGCAUCCAGCCCGAUGGCCAGAUGCCAAGUGACAACACCAUUGGGGGAGGAGAUGACUCUUUCAACACCUUCUUCAGUGAGACGGGUGCUGGCAAGCAUGUGCCCAGGGCAGUGUUUGUAGACCUGGAACCCACAGUCAUUGAUGAAGUUCGCACUGGCACCUACUGCCAGCUCUUCCACCCUGAGCAGCUCAUCACCG